Molecule: long non-coding RNA, 849 nt
Filed under: Phaseolus vulgaris (common bean)
Lineage: Eukaryota; Viridiplantae; Streptophyta; Magnoliopsida; Fabales; Fabaceae
Description: long non-coding RNA (PVUL_LNC004048)
Source: RNAcentral
UCACACUCUCACAUCUUCUCUCCAUUCGAAUCUCUCUCUGUUGAGCAUUCAAGCAUUGCGACCGGAGUACUCUCUCUGUUGAUUGUGCCUAACACCGUAAGUUUUGCAUUUCCUUUCGUUUUCAAUCCAUCUCGAUUGUGCCCUAAUUGCUGGGUUAUUAGAUUUAGUCACUGGUUAUGCCUUCUUUUCGUCAGAAGUUGAUUGGAGAACGCUAAUACUCGAAGCAGUGAAGAAUCGCGAACGAAAGUGUUCGAUUUUCGGCGAAGGCGAUUUUGGAGUGUUUUUGCGGUGGUUGUGGAGGAGAAUUCGAAACUGGAAUUGGAAGUCCAAAAACAGAAUCAAAAGCUUCGAUUCCUUUUGCUCUUAGUCGAAAUUGGUUUAUGUAUGUUCUUCUUCCGCUUUCACUUCCGAUUCCGACGAUUUUUGGUUCUGCCUUUUCCGUUCACUGAUCUUCGUUUUCUAGAGCGAUAUUGGAGAAGCUUAACGGAGAAUACGAGCUCAUUGAUGCACGAGAUAAUUUCUCAAGCUUAGUUGAUGAUUCGCGAGUGAAUUUGUUGGCUCAGUGAAGAACUGAUUCCUUUGUGCAAAGCAGUUUGGUGCGAAACUGAAAAACAAAAGACGUUGUCGGAAACGAAAUUAUGUGAUUUGUUGCUGGUUGGUAAUGCAUUGGUUGCUGGAAUUGCCAAACAAAUUGGAUCAAUAAUUUGUGUACUUGUUAAAAUUGUAGAUAAACUGUUUGAUGAAUUGCUCAUGGUGCCGUGAUGUAGUAUGAUUGAAGCAUUCUGUGAAUUGGUGUGGUGAUGUAAUUUGAAGAAUGUUCUAUGAAUUGAAGCAGAUAAAGUGUUUGCU